RNAcentral lists this ribosomal RNA (447 nucleotides) under uncultured bacterium. RNAcentral describes it as "partial 16S ribosomal RNA". It matches the Rfam family "Bacterial small subunit ribosomal RNA", at positions 330 to 793 of the family's 1533-position model. The record is from RNAcentral.
UCCAGACUCCUACGGGAGGCAGCAGUGGGGGAUAUUGCACAAUGGGGGGAACCCUGAUGCAGCGACGCCGCGUGGGUGAAGGAGUAUUUCGGUAUGUAAAGCCCUAUCGGCAGGGAAGAAGCAAGACGGUACCUGACUAAGAAGCCCCGGCUAACUACGUGCCAGCAGCCGCGGUAAUACGUAGGGGGCAAGCGUUAUCCGGAUUUACUGGGUGUAAAGGGAGCGUAGACGGCAGUGCAAGUCCGGAGUGAAAGCCCGGGGCUCAACCCUGGGACUGCUCUGGAAACUGUAAAGCUGGAGUGCGGGAGGGGCAGGCGGAAUUCCUGGUGUAGCGGUGAAAUGCGUAGAUAUUAGGAGGAACACCAGUGGCGAAGGCGGCUUACUGGACGAUGACUGACGCUGAGGCUCGAAAGCGUGGGGAGCAAACAGGAUUAGAUACCCGUGUAC